Molecule: ribosomal RNA, 564 nt
Filed under: uncultured Alphaproteobacteria bacterium
Lineage: Bacteria; Pseudomonadati; Pseudomonadota; Alphaproteobacteria
Description: partial 16S ribosomal RNA
Rfam family: Bacterial small subunit ribosomal RNA
Source: RNAcentral
GUCGCAUGCUUCCGGCCGCCAUGGCGGCCGCGGGAAUUCGAUUAGAGUUUGAUCAUGGCUCAGAACGAACGCUGGCGGGAGGCCUAACACAUGCAAGUCGAACGUCCCGCAAGGGGAGUGGCAGACGGGUGAGUAACACGUGGGAACGUACCCUUUGGUUCGGAACAACCCAGGGAAACUUGGGCUAAUACCGAAUAAGCCCUUACGGGGAAAGAUUUAUCGCCGAAGGAUCGGCCCGCGUCUGAUUAGCUAGUUGGUGAGGUAACGGCUCACCAAGGCGACGAUCAGUAGCUGGUCUGAGAGGAUGAUCAGCCUCACUGGGACUGAGACACGGCCCAGACUCCUACGGGAGGCAGCAGUGGGGAAUAUUGGACAAUGGGCGCAAGCCUGAUCCAGCCAUGCCGCGUGGGUGAUGAAGGCCCUAGGGUUGUAAAGCCCUUUCGGCGGGGAAGAUAAUGACGGUACCCGCAGAAGAAGCCCCGGCUAACUUCGUGCCAGCAGCCGCGGUAAAUCACUAGUGAAUUCGCGGCCGCCUGCAGGUCGACCAUAUGGGAGAGCUCCCAA